GGANUGGGCGAAGCCUGACGCAGCGACGCCGCGUGGGGGAUGAAGCUUCUCGGAGUGUAAACCCCUUUCGACUGGGACGAAUGCCCGCAAGGGAGUGACGGUACCAGUAGAAGAAGCCCCGGCUAACUACGUGCCAGCAGCCGCGGUAAGACGUAGGGGGCCAGCGUUGUUCGGAAUUACUGGGUGUAAAGGGUUCGUAGGCGGUGUGGCAAGUCGGGAGUGAAAUCUUUGGGCUUAACCCAGAGACUGCUUCCGAAACUGCUGUGCUUGAGUGUGGGAGAGGCGCGUGGAAUUGCAGGUGUAGCGGUGAAAUGCGUAGAUAUCUGCAGGAACACCCGUGGCGAAAGCGGCGCGCUGGACCAUAACUGACGCUGAGGAACGAAAGCUAGGGGAGCAAACAGGAUUAGAUACCCUGGUAGUCCUAGCCCUAAACGAUCAGGACUUGGGGUGGCGUCCGUUCGGACGUCGUCCCGGAGCUAACGCGUUAAGUCCUGCACCUGGGGAGUACGGUCGCAAGACUGAAACUCAAAAAAAUUGACGGA
RNAcentral lists this ribosomal RNA (542 nucleotides) under uncultured bacterium. RNAcentral describes it as "bacterial SSU rRNA". It matches the Rfam family "Bacterial small subunit ribosomal RNA", at positions 368 to 917 of the family's 1533-position model. The record is from RNAcentral.